GUCUAUGGCCAUACCACCCUGAACGCGCCCGAUCUCGUCUGAUCUCGGAAGCUAAGCAGGGUCGGGCCUGGUUAGUACUUGGAUGGGAGGCCGCCUGGGAAUACCGGGUGCUGUAGGCU
Molecule: ribosomal RNA, 119 nt
Filed under: Jaculus jaculus (lesser Egyptian jerboa)
Lineage: Eukaryota; Metazoa; Chordata; Mammalia; Rodentia; Dipodidae
Source: RNAcentral